RNAcentral lists this unclassified non-coding RNA (1616 nucleotides) under Hevea brasiliensis (rubber tree). The record is from RNAcentral. Lineage: Eukaryota; Viridiplantae; Streptophyta; Magnoliopsida; Malpighiales; Euphorbiaceae.
GAGAGAAGGGGGGGAGGCCUUGACUUUGUGACUUUACAGUGUGAAGGCGUCAUCCAUCAAUAAUUUUGACUCCUCUCUUUCUCUCUAUCUCUCUUUCUUCAGCGGGAGUGCGUUGUAAACCGCGUUCGGGAGUUCAACGCCCGACUCGGACUCCGUCCCAUCUCCCAUCCUCCUCCUUCUCAGUACUCAUCGUCAAACCUCCCUCUUCAGCUCUGCAGAUGGAUUUCCCCUUUCCCUCGUUUCUUUUCCAGCGGAUUCGUUAUUAUUUGUACAAAAACAGCGCCUGAUUAAGAGACGCUAAUCAUGAUCAUUAUUCUUAAUAUUAUUCUUGUUUCCAUAUCUCGCUAUGCGUUGGCUUCAAAACAUUUCCUUCUCGUCGUCGUCUAAUCCUUCCACCUCUGCCUCUUCUUCCUCUUCUGCUGUUGGCGAUGCCACUUUUUCUCCUGCAAAGAAGCACAGCCAUUAUAGGAGCUAUAUUCGAGCCGGUCCGCUAGCUUUGCGUUUCGGCGGUGGUGGUGGGCCCAGGUUCAUUCGCCCGAAGAAGCUCCGCCAUUUGACCGGAAAUGAGGUUACAGACCGAGCCUCUUCCGCUUCCGCUACCGCUACCGCUACGAAACCCAACUCAGACUCCGCUGAGUCCGUUCAGCUUUCGCGGUCUCCCAGUAGCUCUUCCUCCACCGUCCCUUUGAGGUUGUCAUCGUCAGCUCCUGUGCCAGUGCCGUUGCCCCUGCCUUUACCUCUCCCUGACAAUUCUAAUUCUGGAGACGGGGACUUGCGCUUGAAGUCGCCUAAGGAGAAGGAUCGAGACGGUGUUAAGGAGAGAGAAAGAGAAAGAAGUGAUGGCUCCGGACGAGAGGGAUUUUCUUCCUCGACCUCUCCAAUUAAGAGUGUAUUCCUUGGUCGAGAUACUAGGAAGGUGGUGGAGCAUCUAGAUAUAAGGUCACCUAGGAAGGUUCAUCCAGAUUUUGUUAUGGAUAAUUAUGGAGAGAACUUCAAGGCCAAUGUUCCUACUAGGAGCGCUCCUACUAGUCCAUUUUCAAGUCCUGUACUCAGCCCACAAACAUUAACUUCUGUUGCGGAUUUGUUGCCUUACUAUCAAAUGAUUGCUAAAGGAAAUCAAGUCUGGUCUGCACCAGAAAUGGCAACUAUAGGUAUACCCGGGCUUCCUCCCCCAGCAUUUUUUGAUUACACUGCAUUCAAUAGUGACAGUUCCCCCCUUCAUAGUCCACCAAGUAGAAGUCCCCGCCGGAAUCCAAGAAGCCCUAAUAGACCUGCGUCACCACUGAAUGCAAAACUUUCAAUUGAAACCUCGACCCCAGGCCGUGAAAGUAAUGCUAACUUUGAGGUCCAUCCAUUACCCCUUCCUCCUGGAGCUGCCAGACCUUCAGUGUCAACUCCUGUUCCACAAGUUAUUGCUAAAGCAGAGUCCAUGCCCUUGAAAAGUCAGUGGCAGAAGGGAAAGCUUAUUGGACGUGGUACAUUUGGCAGUGUUUAUGUUGCCAGCAAUAGGGAAACUGGGGCCCUAUGUGCAAUGAAGGAAGUAGACAUAUUUCCAGACGACCCAAAAUCUGCAGAGUCUAUAAAGCAAUUAGAGCAGGAAAUUAAAAUUCUCAGCC